GAUGAACGCUGGCGGCGUGCCUAAUACAUGCAAGUCGAACGCAUAGCGAAAGGUGCUUGCACCUUUCAAGUGAGUGGCGAACGGGUGAGUAACACGUGGACAACCUGCCUCAAGGCUGGGGAUAACAUUUGGAAACAGAUGCUAAUACCGAAUAAAACUUAUUGUCGCAUGACCCAAAGUUAAAAGGCGCUUCGGCGUCACCUAGAGAUGGAUCCGCGGUGCAUUAGUUAGUUGGUGGGGUAAAGGCCUACCAAGACAAUGAUGCAUAGCCGAGUUGAGAGACUGAUCGGCCACAUUGGGACUGAGACACGGCCCAAACUCCUACGGGAGGCUGCAGUAGGGAAUCUUCCACAAUGGGCGAAAGCCUGAUGGAGCAACGCCGCGUGUGUGAUGAAGGCUUUCGGGUCGUAAAGCACUGUUGUAUGGGAAGAACAGCUAGAAUAGGAAAUGAUUUUAGUUUGACGGUACCAUACCAGAAAGGGACGGCUAAAUACGUG
RNAcentral lists this ribosomal RNA (497 nucleotides) under uncultured bacterium. RNAcentral describes it as "partial 16S ribosomal RNA". It matches the Rfam family "Bacterial small subunit ribosomal RNA", at positions 28 to 507 of the family's 1533-position model. The record is from RNAcentral.